UGGGUCGGCAAGACGGUCGCGUCAUCUGCUCUCGGGCGGAUGCCGAGGAACGUCCGGGCUCCACAGGGCAGGGCGGUGGGUAAUCCCCACCCGGAGUGAUCCGCGAGACAGUGCAACAGAGAGUAAACCGCCACGGGCGGGCGCCUUCGGGCGGGCGGCCGGGGUAAGGGUGAAACGGUGGUGUAAGAGACCACCAGCGAUUCGGGUGACCGGUCGGCUAGGUAAACCUCGCCCGGAGCAAGGUCAGACAGGGAAUGUUCGAGGCGGCCCGCCGAGUUCCCGGGUAGACCGCUAGAGGGCUGCGGCAACGUAGUCCCGAGAUAGAUGGCCGUCCAGCGUCGACAGCGCAAGCUGGGAACGGGGACAGAACCCGGCGUACCAGCCGGCCCAUUCG
Molecule: RNase P RNA, 394 nt
Filed under: Microbacteriaceae bacterium
Lineage: Bacteria; Bacillati; Actinomycetota; Actinomycetes; Micrococcales; Microbacteriaceae
Description: RNase P RNA component class A
Rfam family: Bacterial RNase P class A
About the family: Ribonuclease P (RNase P) is a ubiquitous endoribonuclease, found in archaea, bacteria and eukarya as well as chloroplasts and mitochondria.
Source: RNAcentral